Molecule: non-coding RNA, 3734 nt
Organism: Paramisgurnus dabryanus
Lineage: Eukaryota; Metazoa; Chordata; Actinopteri; Cypriniformes; Cobitidae
Source: RefSeq, a predicted model, not a curated record
UAAAAUAAUCAUCAUGUACUGUAAAUUUUUUUUUUGAAAUUAUAAGUUUUGGGUUCUUCUUAUUGUAUUUUAUUUAUUUUAUAAAUGAUAUAUUUAGGGGACUCUGCUUUAACAAUGACUUAGGAUAAUGAUUUGUUAAAGUGUUUAAAAGCAUAUACAUACAGCAUAUACAUACAGUACUUACCAUAACUUUAUUGUAGAAAAUGUUGAUUAUCAACUCCCGCGUACCCACACUAAAGCCAAUUAUUUUCAGGUGCCCAUACGCUUUUCUGGCUCAAACUACGUUCAGUCAACUCAGAUUUUUCAUUUGACACGAUGAAUUGGCUGAGCAGAGUUUAAUAUGUUCUGUGAAUAUAUAUUUUGUUUUACCCCAAUACCUUAAGUUUUAAUUACCACAAUGCAUAAUUUUGUUUGGGGAGAAUUAUUUGAAAGCAAUAUGUUGAGUCAAUACUUAACUUUCAGUUUCCACAAUUUUUCAAAAUAGAAAUUUUUUACAGUGUACAAUUAUUGCAUAAUUUAUGUAAGGUGGUUACAUCGCGGGGGUGAAUUAUUUUCAAGUAAUUCAAAUUGAAAGGAGUCAAUUAUUCCUCUUAUACCACAGUUACCACAAACAUUGCUCUGGUGCCUAUUUUUAAGAAAUUUUAAGUUAGGUGUGCGAUUAUCAAAAAAUAAUAAAUACCCGUGGAACAUUUCUCAACCAAUCAGAAUACAGCAUUCAACAGACCCAUGGUAUAAAUCACAUUAAUGUAUUUGGCAGACACUGUUGUCCAAAGUGACUGUGCCUUCAAGGCCUUAUGUAUUUGAUAAAGUCACGUAAUGUUUUCUUUGGAAAUCAAGUAAUUGACUUUAUACCAGUUAAGCCAGUUCAUAACAUCAAAGCUGUGAACACAAACACAGAUAAGUGUGAGACUUAAUCAUCUGUUGUGAUUACUUUGGCUUUAUAUAGAGAGUUGGGAUCAACAAAUCUUUACAUUUGUCUUUGAACUACAAGAGAGUCAUGGCUUUCCAAUGUAAUCAUCCACUGGCAUGUCUGGCCAUUCUUGUGUUGGCUUUACAUGCAGAGUUCGCCAGUGCUGCCGUCACCGUUACUUCUAUAAGGGCCCAUAACCUUUCUGGCGAUGCUUUUGGAAACAAACCCGAUUCGUAUGUCAAGGUGUGGUGUGGUUCCUCAUUUGGGGGGAUGACGGAGCAUAUCCCGAAUACAUCUAGCCCUGUCUGGAGUGCACAGAUCAGCUUUCGUAACGGCAGAGUCGGUGAAACCCUAAAGCUAGAAGUGUGGGACAAAGAUAUGAUGGUUGACAAUCGCUUGGGCUAUUGUACCAGAACUGUGGUAAAGGGCACUAAUUCUGCCACCUGUAACUUCUCCAAAGGAUCUCUGUCUUUCAAAUACACAGCAUCUUAAAUCUGUUCUGAGAUGACCUCAAUUGUAACAAACUCAAGAGUAAUAAAGUAUCUGCAUUGCACAUUUGGCCUUUUUUAUUAAGAGAUUGUAUUGAUCAAAAUAUAUUUUUGGCCAACAUCAUUUCCCUUACUGUACCAUGUCUGUAAAUUAUGGUAACAAGUAACAGUACCAGUCAGAAGUUAGGGUUAUACUCUUUGUCUGACGGUGUAUAUCUGAAUGUUUGAAUUAAUUUUUUAUAGACAAAAAUUGUGUACAAAUAAAGUUGUACUGGCAACACUUUACAACAAGGUGGUAUUUGUUACAUCAGUAAAUGCAUUAGCUGGCAUGAACUAACAAUAAGCAAUAUUGUUUUUCAUCAUUUAUUAAUCUUUGUUAAUGAAAGUUAAUGCUUAUACAAUUGUUCAUGUCAGUUCACUGUGAAAAACUUUUGAUUUUAAAGCACCUUAACUGUCACCAGCCUCUUUUUAUGUAACUAUUAAACCGAUAAUAGCCUAUUCCAAAACUUAAAUAAUCUUGACAAACUAUUUAUUGUUGGAAAGCUCUAAGAGUGUAGUUUUCAUAUUCCAUCACUUUUUUGCAAAAAAAAAAAAAAAAAUGUAGUGAGAGUCAUGUUGUAAAUGGCCCAAUUUAUUACAUAUUUAUAACACUAAUAUCUUAUUCUAAACCUAUCAUUAUCUUAACAAACUAUAUAUCAUUGGAAAGCUCCAAGAAUGUAGUUUCAUAUUGCAAAACCUUUUUGCAGUAAUAAUAAUGCAAUGACAGUGAUUUAUUAAUUUGUGACAAUAGUUUGCAGAAAACCAAUGACACCAGCCUUUGUUGAUAAAAGUGUUGUUGGUGAUUUUGAUAAUAUUUUUGGUGAUUUUAACUUGGAAUUUGGAUCAAAACAAUUUGAGACUUAUGGCUUUAUUUUUUAGCAUUUUGGGCAUAAGAUGUUUAAAAAAAGUAUAGUUUUUUAAUAUGAAAUACGUUCUUUAUUGCAUUAUUUUAAUUUUUUUAAAUAAACUUAAACAACUAUUUCUUAAUUUGAUAUUAACAGACACUUCAAUGCUUUAGAAUGCAAAAAAAAAAAAAAAACUUUAAAAUGCCUUAUUUUAAAAGAGACCAAGAUUUGGCUUCUAGGCUUGUACACUCUAAAAAUGGCUGGGUUAAUUUUGACCCAUAAUGCGUAAAUAUUGGACAGAAUGGACAGACCCAAUGCUGAGUUGUUUUAACCCAACUGCUGGCUUAUUAUAGCCCAUGAUUGCAUAACAACCACCCAACACUGGGUCAUUUGAAACCCAGCAUGUGCUGUGUCUAAUAUUUACCAAUAAUGGGUCAAAAUUAACCCAGCCAUUUUUAGAGUGUAACGACUGAGGUGCUCUUGUGCAAGGCACCUUAAACCCAGUUGCUCUCUGGGUGCUCCAGUAAAGCCAUAUUUGCAAUGCCACCAUGGGAACACGUCCAACAAGUCCUGUCAUUUCUUCAUACGCCUAUGUAUGCAUAUAUAGAGCAUGACACGUCUACAUCUAGCCCUGUCUAGACUAAAGAGAUUAGCUUUCAUAAUGACAAAAAUCGGUAAAACCCUAAAGCUAGAGAUGUAGUCGACAUUCGCUUGGGCAACCAAAACUGUAGUAAAGAGCACUCAUGAUGUCACCUGUAACUUGUCCAAAGGAUCUCUAUUUUACAAAUACCAAGCAUCUUAAAUGUGCUGUUGCUUUAUCUAGUGGUGUUUCUUUUCCGCCUCCUAUCGGACAUUUAAGGUACUACACUAUAUUUUGCCAUUUACUUUCGGUUUCUCUCAGUGAACACAGUGGAGAAGGACAUGCUUGCAGUUAUUGAUUAUCAUUUAAACCUUGGAAAAUAUGUCUGUAAGGGCUCAAUUUUAUACUAAAUAGUGCCUUAAAGUGUUAGAUUUUAGUAAAGUUUAAAUCGGGAUUAUUGUUAUAUUUGUUAUAAAUAGACAUGAUUUGGGUUAUUGGUAGCUUACUUUAUACUGCUUAUUUCUCAUAUGAAUAUAAUUUCUCAAUAUGUACAUUACUUUAAAUAAUGGUAAAGGGAACUAUGUACAAAUUAAACUGUAAUGUUAAGGUGGAUGUGUAUGUACAGGUGUACAUAAUGUUCAUACAUAUUUUUUCUUGUUUGUAGUUUUACAAUAAAAGAAAUGAGAAGAACAAUCACCAGUAAAGUCACAAAGGUUAUGAAGACUGCUUUCUGGAGUUGUUUUCUAAAAGUGUACGCUAUCUGUUAAACCUUUGCUCAGGCUACGCAGUAGGUCAGGACAGAAUAUUAAAUCUAUUCUGAGAUGACCUCAAUUGUAACAAACUCAAGAGUAAUAAAGUAGAAGAAUCUGCAU